ACUAUAGUAGUAUAUUACUGCAUAGUAAUCGUACAACAGAGAGGGGUUCCCCCUUAUUACAUAAACGUUCCCUCAAUAAAACUAUUACUCAACUUAUAUCUAAUAUUAGCAACAUAUCAUGGCCAUCUCCUUGACAUUAUUCCUGACACCGUGCUGCUCAUUAAUAACUGAUUCUGCAACAAAAAAACCGAAAUACUCUGUAUUAGUUAUCUUUUAGCUGAUUGUAUUAAAUAAUUUACAGUAUCAAUAUGUAAUUGUUAAAGUAUCAAAAAAAUGGAACUAGUGACGUAUCCAUAGAUCGAUUUGAAGUGAAGAUGCAAUUUCUUUUUUUAAUAUAAAGGAUUUAACUUACAAACAUUCAUAGCAUAAUAAAAUUUAUGAUAUCAAGUUACCCAUAAUUGUAAUUAAGAAGGUUUACUUAACUUGCAGUAAUUGAUUUCUUAUAGUUUGAUAGUCCAAAUAUAUUUUUUAUAGUUUCAGUGUGUAGAACUUACGUAUCACAAUUGAUGGUCUUGGAGACGGGGACGUCCAUGGCGACACCACACUUAGAAGCAAGAGCCUGAGCAGCAUCAUCUUUAGAUAUCAAUUGUUGUUUUAAGCGUCAAUACUAAUAGCUUUUAAUAAAUUGAACAUUUAUAGCAUAACAAACUUCUAUAAUGUCUAGUUGCCCAUACUUAUAAUUGAGAGGUUUACUUGUAGUAAUUGCUUUUAGUAAUUGAUAAUCGAAAUAUUUUUCUAUAGUUUCAGUGCAUAAAAC
Molecule: long non-coding RNA, 757 nt
Filed under: Nicotiana benthamiana
Lineage: Eukaryota; Viridiplantae; Streptophyta; Magnoliopsida; Solanales; Solanaceae
Description: long non-coding RNA (NBEN_LNC012735)
Source: RNAcentral